This 261-nucleotide ribosomal RNA is filed under the name uncultured bacterium. RNAcentral describes it as "partial 16S ribosomal RNA". It matches the Rfam family "Bacterial small subunit ribosomal RNA", at positions 524 to 783 of the family's 1533-position model. The record is from RNAcentral.
UACGUAGGGGGCAAGCGUUGUCCGGAAUCAUUGGGCGUAAAGAGCGUGUAGGCGGCUCGAUAAGUCUGCUGUGAAAGUCCAGGGCUCAACCCUGGAAGGCCGGUGGAAACUGUCGGGGCUAGAGUCCGGAAGAGGCGAGUGGAAUUCCCGGUGUAGCGGUGAAAUGCGCAGAUAUCGGGAGGAACACCAAUGGCGAAGGCAGCUCGCUGGGACGGUACUGACGCUGAGACGCGAAAGCGUGGGGAGCAAACAGGAUUAAGA